RNAcentral lists this small nuclear RNA (107 nucleotides) under Stegodyphus mimosarum. The record is from RNAcentral. Lineage: Eukaryota; Metazoa; Arthropoda; Arachnida; Araneae; Eresidae.
GUACUUCCUUCGGCAGUAUAUUUACUAAAAUUUGAAUGACACAGAGAAGAUUAGCAUGGCCCCUGCGCAAGGAAGGCAUGCAAAAUCGUUAAGCGCUCCGCAUUUUU